GUAGACUUGAUUUCUAAUAGAUAUGUGAAUUUUGAGAGAUAUUUAAUAUAUGAAUUAAGAGAUUUUGGCUUGGAAAGAUUGGCAUCAAGAUUGGAGAAGGAAGAUGGCCAAUACUUGAGUGGAUUUUAGGAUUUAUCUUCUAUUUGGUAAGUUCGAUCUUUUUAAAAAUAUUUAUGCUUAUUGCCAACUUAAUUGUUGAGAUGUUUGCAAAUUUUGAGUUGAAAUAAUUAGUUUGAUUAUUAGUUAUGGAAGUUUCAAUCUGCCAUAGGAUUUAUUAAGAAUUUGUUUAUGAUUUAGAAUUGAUUUAGGAUUUAUGGUUUAGGAUUUUGAUUAGGAUUUGUUUAGAAUUUGUCUAAGAUUUGAUUAUGAUUUAUUUAAGAUUUGUUUGGAAUUUGAUUAGAAUUUAUUUAGGAUUUGAGUAGGAUUUGACUAAAAUUUGUUUAGAAUUGGAUCAGAAUUUGAUUAGGAUUUGUUUAGGAUUUGUUUAGGAUUUGAUUAGUAUUUAUUUAGAAUUUUUUUAGGAUUUAAUUAAGAUUCAAUUAGGAUUCAAUCAUGAUUUUUUUAGGAUUUUUUUUAUAU
This 579-nucleotide long non-coding RNA is filed under the name Physcomitrium patens. RNAcentral's name for it is "long non-coding RNA (PPAT_LNC002490)". The record is from RNAcentral. Lineage: Eukaryota; Viridiplantae; Streptophyta; Bryopsida; Funariales; Funariaceae.